This 1542-nucleotide ribosomal RNA is filed under the name Escherichia fergusonii. RNAcentral's name for it is "bacterial SSU rRNA". It matches the Rfam family "Bacterial small subunit ribosomal RNA". Lineage: Bacteria; Pseudomonadati; Pseudomonadota; Gammaproteobacteria; Enterobacterales; Enterobacteriaceae. The record is from RNAcentral.
AAAUUGAAGAGUUUGAUCAUGGCUCAGAUUGAACGCUGGCGGCAGGCCUAACACAUGCAAGUCGAACGGUAACAGGAAUCAGCUUGCUGAUUCGCUGACGAGUGGCGGACGGGUGAGUAAUGUCUGGGAAACUGCCUGAUGGAGGGGGAUAACUACUGGAAACGGUAGCUAAUACCGCAUAAUGUCGCAAGACCAAAGAGGGGGACCUUCGGGCCUCUUGCCAUCGGAUGUGCCCAGAUGGGAUUAGCUUGUAGGUGGGGUAACGGCUCACCUAGGCGACGAUCCCUAGCUGGUCUGAGAGGAUGACCAGCCACACUGGAACUGAGACACGGUCCAGACUCCUACGGGAGGCAGCAGUGGGGAAUAUUGCACAAUGGGCGCAAGCCUGAUGCAGCCAUGCCGCGUGUAUGAAGAAGGCCUUCGGGUUGUAAAGUACUUUCAGCGGGGAGGAAGGGAGUAAAGUUAAUACCUUUACUCAUUGACGUUACCCGCAGAAGAAGCACCGGCUAACUCCGUGCCAGCAGCCGCGGUAAUACGGAGGGUGCAAGCGUUAAUCGGAAUUACUGGGCGUAAAGCGCACGCAGGCGGUUUGUUAAGUCAGAUGUGAAAUCCCCGGGCUCAACCUGGGAACUGCAUCUGAUACUGGCAAGCUUGAGUCUCGUAGAGGGGGGUAGAAUUCCAGGUGUAGCGGUGAAAUGCGUAGAGAUCUGGAGGAAUACCGGUGGCGAAGGCGGCCCCCUGGACGAAGACUGACGCUCAGGUGCGAAAGCGUGGGGAGCAAACAGGAUUAGAUACCCUGGUAGUCCACGCCGUAAACGAUGUCGACUUGGAGGUUGUGCCCUUGAGGCGUGGCUUCCGGAGCUAACGCGUUAAGUCGACCGCCUGGGGAGUACGGCCGCAAGGUUAAAACUCAAAUGAAUUGACGGGGGCCCGCACAAGCGGUGGAGCAUGUGGUUUAAUUCGAUGCAACGCGAAGAACCUUACCUGGUCUUGACAUCCACGGAAGUUUUCAGAGAUGAGAAUGUGCCUUCGGGAACCGUGAGACAGGUGCUGCAUGGCUGUCGUCAGCUCGUGUUGUGAAAUGUUGGGUUAAGUCCCGCAACGAGCGCAACCCUUAUCCUUUGUUGCCAGCGGUCCGGCCGGGAACUCAAAGGAGACUGCCAGUGAUAAACUGGAGGAAGGUGGGGAUGACGUCAAGUCAUCAUGGCCCUUACGACCAGGGCUACACACGUGCUACAAUGGCGCAUACAAAGAGAAGCGACCUCGCGAGAGCAAGCGGACCUCAUAAAGUGCGUCGUAGUCCGGAUUGGAGUCUGCAACUCGACUCCAUGAAGUCGGAAUCGCUAGUAAUCGUGGAUCAGAAUGCCACGGUGAAUACGUUCCCGGGCCUUGUACACACCGCCCGUCACACCAUGGGAGUGGGUUGCAAAAGAAGUAGGUAGCUUAACCUUCGGGAGGGCGCUUACCACUUUGUGAUUCAUGACUGGGGUGAAGUCGUAACAAGGUAACCGUAGGGGAACCUGCGGUUGGAUCACCUCCUUA